Molecule: long non-coding RNA, 202 nt
Filed under: Nicotiana benthamiana
Lineage: Eukaryota; Viridiplantae; Streptophyta; Magnoliopsida; Solanales; Solanaceae
Description: long non-coding RNA (NBEN_LNC011333)
Source: RNAcentral
CACCUUCAGAUGCUCUUGUCUCCCUUCUAUCUCAACCUAACCCUAAUCAUUCUUCAACCACCGCCUCCUUCUCCGGUUAUCUCUGGCGACUACCUUUUAACCCCAAGCCUCCAAUGGUAACCGAUUUGGAUCUAGGGUUUUUGAUUCUAUUAUUCAUGCUUCUCCGGUGUGAUUUUGGGCAAAAUCACACCUUAUAUGUUAC